UCCGGUUUAACACCGGCAGUCUCACUAGAGUCCCCGACAUGACUCGCUGGCAACUAGUGACAAGGGUUUCGCUCGUUAAGGGACUUAACCCGACACUUCACAGCACGAGCUGACGACAGCCAUGCAGCACCUGUGCACGUUGUACCCGAAGGCCUGGCUCCCCUUUCAGGGAGUUAAUCCGUGCAUGUCAAGACUAGGAUAAGGUUCUUCGCGUAGCCUCGAAUUAAGCCACAUCCUCCACCGCUUGUGUGAGCCCCCGUCAAUUCUUUUGAGUUUCAGCCUUGCGACCAUACUCCCCAGGCGGAGCACUUAACACUUUCGCUACAACUGAAAGGCUAUGGAGGACCCUUCAAUUCAGUGCUCAUCGUUUACGGCUAGGACUAC
Molecule: unclassified non-coding RNA, 384 nt
Filed under: uncultured Pirellulaceae bacterium
Lineage: Bacteria; Pseudomonadati; Planctomycetota; Planctomycetia; Pirellulales; Pirellulaceae
Description: contains 16S-23S intergenic spacer region
Source: RNAcentral